UUUUCAGUGAAAACAUCUAAUUUUAUAAUAUGUAUAUAAGAGAUUCUUGAUGCUGAUAUUAUCCACAAUGCACAAUAAUUAGCAUUAUGAAUUAAUGAUCUCUGAAUGUAUCGAAAGGCAGCUGUUUCACUAGCACAUCUUCAAGUCGACAAUGUUGCGAGGACCCAGAAAUGGUGGGCGUACGAGAAAGAGCUGAUUCUGAUGAUGAGAGCUAGCUAGCUAAACCAAGCCACUUGUUACCAAACUUUCAGUUAGCCUGCCAGCUUUUACAUUUGGUGAAAUACGACAUUACUGAAGGUCACAACAUGAAAAAUGUGUGUCAUUGUAUGUAUGAAGCAUUAUGAAUGAAUGAUCUCUGAAGGUAUCAAAAGGCAGCUGUUUCACUAGCAAAAGCUGUACAUAACUUGGCUAGCUAGCUAGCUGUGCUAUGUCAGAGAAUAGCCUUGUGCUUAAAUGACUCAAAUGGCAAGUCUAACCCAAGCAAGGCAGUUAUUCAUGCUAUAUUUGAUGACUGACUGGUUGAACAACUGAAAACUGUCAAGAGAAAAUAAAUGCAUGGGACCCUUUUUUCAAAAGUUUGACUUGAUUUGCAUUAACAAUGCUUCUUGACAUACAUGUUUUCCUUAUGCUUGUGGUUAUAGUUGAGCCAAGUGCCUUUCAAUCAUGGGAUUGCAGACUAUCUGAAAUAAUUACAAAGUUUGUCAUGGGCACGAGCCCAUGGGGUUGGUACAAUGUCAAGUCGCACCCUGUACUACACAAGAAUAAACAGGACUAUGUUUUCGAACCCAGGCAUUGUGGCAUAAAUGUCACCACAAGCCCCUGCCAAGGCAAAGUAGCUGGUGAAGGAGAGUGAGUGACGUACACAUCCUUCAGAAAGGACAACAUCUACUAGGCUAUAUAAUGGACUGAGACUAUGAAGAGCUGGUUGAGGAAGAACUGGCUGUGGGUGGUUGGGGGGUCCUUUCUUGGCAUCCAUAACCACCUGGCUCAUGCAGAGGGCUAUGAGAAGCGUCGCUCGCUCUGAGAUGUCACUGAAAGAGAAGGAUUCCCAGGAGUGACUGGUGGUGAGGCGUUUUGCCAGUUGACUACUAUAUUUUUAACGACUCACGUGUGGAGUAAAUGGAAUUUAACUCUGAACUCAAGAUAAUGAUGUAAUUACCUGUGCUUGAUUAGCUGCAAAUGUUAUUCCUCUGUUAGAGAUCAAAUUAAACUAUGAAUUUCA
This is a long non-coding RNA of Oncorhynchus mykiss (rainbow trout), 1222 nucleotides long. RefSeq lists it as uncharacterized. The record is from RefSeq and is a predicted model, not a curated record. NCBI's taxonomy places the organism in Eukaryota, Metazoa, Chordata, Actinopteri, Salmoniformes, Salmonidae.